UACGUAGGGUGCGAGCGUUAAUCGGAAUUACUGGGCGUAAAGCGUGCGCAGGCGGUUUUAUAAGACAGAUGUGAAAUCCCCGGGCUUAACCUGGGAACUGCGUUUGUGACUGUAAGACUAGAGUGUAGCAGAGGGGGGUGGAAUUCCACGUGUAGCAGUGAAAUGCGUAGAUAUGUGGAGGAACAUCGAUGGCGAAGGCAGCCCCCUGGGUUAACACUGACGCUCAUGCACGAAAGCGUGGGGAGCAAACAGG
RNAcentral lists this ribosomal RNA (253 nucleotides) under uncultured bacterium. RNAcentral's name for it is "partial 16S ribosomal RNA". It matches the Rfam family "Bacterial small subunit ribosomal RNA", at positions 524 to 776 of the family's 1533-position model. The record is from RNAcentral.